RNAcentral lists this long non-coding RNA (929 nucleotides) under Penaeus japonicus. RNAcentral describes it as "uncharacterized LOC122249448". Lineage: Eukaryota; Metazoa; Arthropoda; Malacostraca; Decapoda; Penaeidae. The record is from RNAcentral.
GUGAGGAGAUGUGUUUUUGUUUUUUUUUGUGUCUUUUUUAAAGUCUGUGUUUGGAGUUCUGGAAACGUUUUUGAAUCGAUAGAUUAUUUUGUAUCUUUCCACAAGUUUGUUGUGAUUAUUAUUGUAUUGUCUUUCCUGCGAUGGUACGCUAACUGACUCCAUUGCUGUAAAGUAUUUAUCUGAAGUGAUUACUGUCCAGUUGGGCCUGUACGGGUCAUGAUACGUGAGGCCGGUCUCCCACACAUAACGACCCCAGUGAAGCUGCGAAACCCGUGCCAUAAUGAACACGGCCGCGAGCGAUAGCACAGGGUCGCAGAGCACAAAGAAAACGGAGUAUUCAUUACAUUGACCACGCAGCCUGACACAGUUGGCCGGCGGUCGUGCAUGGUGCCAGGAGCUUACCCAGUCCCAAAAGAUAAUCAUAAGAUCAAUAUAAAAGCAUACGCCCUUAUUGGCAAUGCCAUCCACAAAGAAAACUACGAGAAAGGAAAACCGCCAACAUACCGCCAUGUGACGUUUAUGUAUUCUGACUGACUACCCACCCAUGGACUCUUAGUCACGUGUCCCCAGGUAAAAAAAGGGCGUGACUCGACCUUUCUAUUAGUUAAUCAUAAUAAUAAGGCAACCUCGGACUGACCCAAAGAAAGGAUGGAUCACAACUGAGACGAAAUCAAGUGAUUUGCCGCAGUUCCCCCUGAGACGCCAAUCAAGAAGGACUCGUUACGGCGGAGGAAUAUCAACAACUCCUUCGGGAUGUCGUUAUUGGCGCUGCGUGUCCUGGUGCUGCUGCUGACGGUUAGCGGAUGUUUGGGAGAGCGAGUGUACCAGUUCCAGGGGAAUGGAGUUCAGUCCGACGCUCACAUCAAGUACACGGGCUUCACCAAACCCCUCGCCCUCGAGUCCGUGUCCUUCUGCGUCCGACUGAGGUU